Molecule: ribosomal RNA, 166 nt
Filed under: Nassella quinqueciliata
Lineage: Eukaryota; Viridiplantae; Streptophyta; Magnoliopsida; Poales; Poaceae
Description: 5.8S ribosomal RNA
Rfam family: 5.8S ribosomal RNA
About the family: 5.8S ribosomal RNA (5.8S rRNA) is a component of the large subunit of the eukaryotic ribosome. It is transcribed by RNA polymerase I as part of the 45S precursor that also contains 18S and 28S rRNA.
Source: RNAcentral
CCACACGACUCUCGGCAACGGAUAUCUCGGCUCUCGCAUCGAUGAAGAACGUAGCGAAAUGCGAUACCUGGUGUGAAUUGCAGAAUCCCGCGAACCAUCGAGUCUUUGAACGCAAGUUGCGCCCGAGGCCACCCGGCUGAGGGCACGCCUGCCUGGGCGUCACGCC